UGAGGCAUCUCGAAACUUUUAAAAGACCCGCAAGGGUAUGCUGAGAGAUGGGCUUGCGGCACAUUAGUUAGUUGGUAAGGUAAUGGCUUACCAAGACUAUGAUGUGUAGCUGGACUGAGAGGUUGAACGGCCACAUUGGGACUGAGAUACGGCCCAAACUCCUACGGGAGGCAGCAGUAAGGAAUUUUCGGCAAUGGAGGAAACUCUGACCGAGCAACGCCGCGUGAACGAUGAAGUAUUUAGGUACGUAAAGUUCUUUUAUUAAAGAAGAAAAAAUGAUGGAAAAAUCAUUCUGACGGUAUUUAAUGAAUAAGCCCCGGCUAACUAUGUGCCAGCAGCUGCGGUAAUACAUGGGGGGCAAGCGUUAUCCGGAUUUAUUGGGCGUAAAGGGUGCGUAGGCGGUUAAAUAAGUCUAUGGUAUAAGUUCAACGCUUAACGUUGUGAUGCUAUAGAAACUGUUUGACUAGAGUUGGAUAGAGGCAAGUGGAAUUCCAUGUGUAGCGGUAAAAUGCGUAAAUAUAUGGAGGAACACCAGUAGCGAAGGCGGCUUGCUGGGUCUUAACUGACGCUGAGGCACGAAAGCGUGGGGAGCAAACAGGAUUAGAUACCCUGGUAGUCCACGCCGUAAACGAUGAGUACUAAGUGUUGGGUUAAACCAGUGCUGAAGUUAACACAUUAAGUACUCCGCCUGAGUAGUACGUACGCAAGUAUGAAACUUAAAGGAAUUGACGGGACUCCGCACAAGCGGUGGAUCAUGUUGUUUAAUUCGAAGAUACACGAAAAACCUUACCAGGUCUUGACAUACUCUGCAAAGCUAUAGAAAUAUAGUGGAGGUUAUCAGGGAUACAGGUGGUGCAUGGUUGUCGUCAGCUCGUGUCGUGAGAUGUUGGGUUAAGUCCCGCAACGAGCGCAACCCUUAUCACUAGUUACCAUCAUUUAGUUGGGCACUUUAGUGAGACUGCCAAUGAUAAAUUGGAGGAAGGUGGGGAUUACGUCAAAUCAUCAUGCCCCUUAUGACCUGGGCUACAAACGUGAUACAAUGGCUGUUACAAAGAGUAGCUGAAACGUGAGUUUUUAGCAAAUCUCAAAAAAACAGUCUCAGUUCGGAUUGAAGUCUGCAACUCGACUUCAUGAAGUCGGAAUCGCUAGUAAUCGCGAAUCAGCAUGUCGUGGUGAAUAC
This 1180-nucleotide ribosomal RNA is filed under the name Candidatus Phytoplasma prunorum. RNAcentral's name for it is "bacterial SSU rRNA". It matches the Rfam family "Bacterial small subunit ribosomal RNA", at positions 184 to 1369 of the family's 1533-position model. The record is from RNAcentral. Lineage: Bacteria; Bacillati; Mycoplasmatota; Mollicutes; Acholeplasmatales; Acholeplasmataceae.